This 637-nucleotide ribosomal RNA is filed under the name uncultured Actinomycetes bacterium. RNAcentral describes it as "bacterial SSU rRNA". It matches the Rfam family "Bacterial small subunit ribosomal RNA", at positions 234 to 887 of the family's 1533-position model. Lineage: Bacteria; Bacillati; Actinomycetota; Actinomycetes. The record is from RNAcentral.
CGCCUGGGGAGUACGGGUGAGGUAACGGCUCACCAAGGCAUCGACGGGUAGCUGGUCUGAGAGGAUGAUCAGCCACACUGGGACUGAGACACGGCCCAGACUCCUACGGGAGGCAGCAGUAGGGAAUAUUGCACAAUGGGCGAAAGCCUGAUGCAGCAACGCCGCGUGCGGGAAGAAGGCCCUAGGGUUGUAAACCGCUUUCAGCAGGGAAGAAAAUGACGGUACCUGCAGAAGAAGGUGCGGCCAACUACGUGCCAGCAGCCGCGGUGACACGUAGGCACCAAGCGUUGUCCGGAUUUAUUGGGCGUAAAGAGCUCGUAGGCGGUUCAGUAAGUCGGGUGUGAAAACUCAAGGCUCAACCUUGAGACGCCACUCGAUACUGCUGUGACUUGAGUCCGGUAGAGGAGUGUGGAAUUCCUGGUGUAGCGGUGAAAUGCGCAGAUAUCAGGAGGAACACCAGCGGCGAAGGCGGCACUCUGGGCCGGUACUGACGCUGAGGAGCGAAAGCAUGGGGAGCAAACAGGAUUAGAUACCCUGGUAGUCCAUGCCGUAAACGUUGGGCACUAGGUAUGGGAUCAUAUCAACGGAUUCCGUGCCGUAGCUAACGCAUUAAGUGCCCCGCCUGGGGAGUACGGAC